Molecule: ribosomal RNA, 809 nt
Filed under: Streptomyces atroolivaceus
Lineage: Bacteria; Bacillati; Actinomycetota; Actinomycetes; Kitasatosporales; Streptomycetaceae
Description: bacterial SSU rRNA
Rfam family: Bacterial small subunit ribosomal RNA
Source: RNAcentral
AUGCAGUCGAACGAUGAAGCCCUUCGGGGUGGAUUAGUGGCGAACGGGUGAGUAACACGUGGGCAAUCUGCCCUUCACUCUGGGACAAGCCCUGGAAACGGGGUCUAAUACCGGAUAACACUCUGUCCCUCAUGGGACGGGGUUAAAAGCUCCGGCGGUGAAGGAUGAGCCCGCGGCCUAUCAGCUUGUUGGUGGGGUAAUGGCCUACCAAGGCGACGACGGGUAGCCGGCCUGAGAGGGCGACCGGCCACACUGGGACUGAGACACGGCCCAGACUCCUACGGGAGGCAGCAGUGGGGAAUAUUGCACAAUGGGCGAAAGCCUGAUGCAGCGACGCCGCGUGAGGGAUGACGGCCUUCGGGUUGUAAACCUCUUUCAGCAGGGAAGAAGCGAAAGUGACGGUACCUGCAGAAGAAGCGCCGGCUAACUACGUGCCAGCAGCCGCGGUAAUACGUAGGGCGCAAGCGUUGUCCGGAAUUAUUGGGCGUAAAGAGCUCGUAGGCGGCUUGUCACGUCGGAUGUGAAAGCUCGGGGCUUAACCCCGAGUCUGCAUUCGAUACGGGCUAGCUAGAGUGUGGUAGGGGAGAUCGGAAUUCCUGGUGUAGCGGUGAAAUGCGCAGAUAUCAGGAGGAACACCGGUGGCGAAGGCGGAUCUCUGGGCCAUUACUGACGCUGAGGAGCGAAAGCGUGGGGAGCGAACAGGAUUAGAUACCCUGGUAGUCCACGCCGUAAACGUUGGGAACUAGGUGUUGGCGACAUUCCACGUCGUCGGUGCCGCAGCUAACGCAUUAAGUUCCCCGCCUGGGGAG